Molecule: long non-coding RNA, 641 nt
Filed under: Androctonus crassicauda
Lineage: Eukaryota; Metazoa; Arthropoda; Arachnida; Scorpiones; Buthidae
Source: RNAcentral
CUACCAUCAUUACUUCCCCUAUAAUAAAAGAGGUGUCCAUUUUUGAAUUUGAUCAGUUCUUCACCUCUUCUCCUGAUUUUCACAUAGACCUAAAAUGUCCUAUUUUAUUUUCCCCAGUUUUUCCUUUAGUUUCCUUUUCCUUUUAGCUGUUCUUCAGUUUACAGUGAUCUGCAGUUUUAUAUUGCCAGAUAGAAUCCUUGGCAGUGGAUCCAGUAAUUCUUUGCACUCUGCUUUCUGGUUUUCCUGCCUGUUGCUCAAAGCAGAGAUCUUCCAGCCACUGGGGAUUGAGGGCUCCAAUAUCAGUCGUGUUCUUGGAGAUUGUUGGCCGAAGUCACACUAAGCUGGCCAGUGCAGGCUGGUGUGAGCCCAUCCACAUUAAUUCACUAAGUUGUAAGAUAUGAUUAUUAACAGGCUAGACUGUGAGAAGGGUAUGAAUUGGAUGUUGGAUUCAUGCUGGGUACUGAUUCCAUUAAUCUCUAUUACUAGAGUAUUAAUGGCUCACCUCCUCAUAGAAUUGUGAAGAUUGGACUGCAUUCGGUUGUGAAUGGCUGCCAUUUUAGUUUAAAGAAUGAUGUUUUUGGUUUUUGUAUUUAAGUUAUUUCAGUUAUUUAAGUUCUGCUAAUUUGUUUGAAGAAUUUUUG